AGGACGAACGCUGGCGGUGUGCUUAACACAUGCAAGUGGUGCGACGAACCAGAGCUUGCUCUGGGGCAAAGCCGCGAACGGGUGAGUAACACGUGGGUAAUCUACCCCGAUGACCGGGACAACCCGAGGAAACUCGGGCUAAUACCGGAUGUGGUACGGAGACAUAAGUCUCUUUACUAAAGGUAGCUUCGGCUUCCGCAUUGGGAGGGGCCCGCGGCCCAUUAGCUAGUUGGUGGGGUCAAGGCCUACCAAGGCAACGAUGGGUAGCUGGUCUGAGAGGACGAUCAGCCACACUGGGACUGAGACACGGCCCAGACUCCUACGGGAGGCAGCAGUGGGGAAUCUUGCGCAAUGCGCGAAAGCGUGACGCAGCAACACCGCGUGAGGGAAGACGGCCUUAGGGUUGUAAACCUCUUUCAGAUGGGACGAAGGUGAUGCGGGGAAUAGCCGAUGUCAUUGACGGUACCGUCAGAAGAAGCUCCGGCUAACUACGUG
Molecule: ribosomal RNA, 495 nt
Filed under: uncultured bacterium
Lineage: Bacteria
Description: bacterial SSU rRNA
Rfam family: Bacterial small subunit ribosomal RNA
Source: RNAcentral